This is a long non-coding RNA of Corapipo altera (White-ruffed manakin), 1983 nucleotides long. RefSeq lists it as uncharacterized. NCBI's taxonomy places the organism in Eukaryota, Metazoa, Chordata, Aves, Passeriformes, Pipridae. The record is from RefSeq and is a predicted model, not a curated record. The transcript is spliced from 3 exons.
CCCUGGUACAAAUGACCCCAAUGGCUUAUAAGAAAUUCUCUUAUCCUUCCACAUCAUCUGCUUUCUCAUGCUUUACUCCAAAUAUCCCCCAGAAUAACUUCUCCUGUUACUUACCACUCUUCUCACAAGGUGGCAGUGAAAAGUGAAGUAGAUUUACAAUUACUUUGUCUCAAAAGCACUGCCUUUAAUGCCAAUCCUAAUCUAAUGCUUGGUAGCAAGCCUCUGAAAACCUUAUUUUCUUCUCCUUUUUCCUUAGAGUCUUUAAAAACAACCUCAAAGACUUCAUAGAGAAAUUUUUCCCCAUGGCAUGCCCUGUGCAGAGACUCACAUUUAAUAUCCACGCUGACAGUACCUGCUACAGGCUUUUCAGAUCAUGGCCAAAGAUUACUGAAGUCACUGAAAAACAGUGGUGUAUGAAGAACACUGUUACUUUCAAGAAAGUGGAAGACACAUUUUGUGGAAGCACAGACCAGGAUAUAAUCUGAGGAUUAUCACUCUAACACACCGAAGGCAUUCUGACAAUACAGCAGUACCCAGCCAAUUUGCUUCUUUCUUCUGGAGUCUUUGCAAACUUGAAUGUUUGCUUCAUAUGUUAUUGUUGAAGGAUCAGUAAAUACAAAAAAGUUAAAUGCGUGUCCUCAAAACUACUGAGAAGGAAUUGAAGGCAGCCUAGAACAGGAUCUGCAGUUGAGAGCAGAGAUGUCUGACUGUAGAAACUUGAGGCUCACUGUAGUCCACUGAGUGCUCUCCACUUCCUCAUCCAGGGACCCCAACGAGAGGGAUGAAAUAUGCACAUCUAUAAAAAGCCUUUCCACUCAAGGAAAGCCAGGUAACAGGGCAGUGCAAAGUGUUGGUGCCUAAAUCCUUAGUUUAAUAGGGAGGGAAUAGUGCUGUCCCAGCACUGCAGGGAGCUGAAAAGCAUUGGUUUGUUACAAGCUCUAAAGGCAACAUCUCAAUUUUACAAGUAAUGUUAAUCAGGAAGCUGUUAGGGGAAAGGGCUAAAUUGUUAUUAAAAAUCACAGAAGGAUAUGUAAUUAAAUUUGAAUGAAAAGACUUCUAACUAACCACAGGGCUUUGAUCCAAGUCCUUACACUGGUUACAAGUUGUGGCAAUUACUUCGUAUCUUCCCAAAAUGUAAAGGCACAGUGAAGACUUUUCUCUGACAUCACAGAGAAGAAUAAAUUAAACAAGAGACCAAGAUCAGUACAGGAUUUCAGUUGAAUUUGCAUUUAGGCUCCAAAAUCAAUCCUGAAAAUGUCUUUUGCAGCUGCUGCUGGACACUGAAGUUACUUAGGUAAGACAAAGACUUUGACUUCUCUGGGCAAACCGAACUGCUGAACUCUUUAACUAACAACCACCAGAAGGUCUGUUUCUGGUUACUUGUGGUAUUGUCUUUGCUGACAGGAUUGAGGGGUUGGGUGCCUGGAUCCCAUGUCUCCUCCUGCUCUGCAGCUGUACAGAAAGGGCCCAACACCCUGGUCCAACAGGUCACCAGCCUCUGAGCUGCUGCCGGAGCACCACAUGUGUUGCACACAUGCAUAGGAUUGGCAUUCAGAUAUAAUCGAGUGAUAUCUCCACCUGGGGAGGGAAAGUUGACCUGACUGUAAGAGGAAGAUAUGACUUUCUGUCCUAAGAGUUUGAACAGUCAUUCCAGAACAAGCAGCCCCAAAACCAAGAUCCCAUCCUCACAAUUUUACAUCUCUCAUCUGGUGACUUUUUCAGUCACUGGCCAGUGGAAUAGUUUCAAUAGGAGCAGAGGAACAUAGCAUUCAUAUUUUGCUAAAGUCUGAUGACAAAAGAGAUGGAAAAUAGUGGCAAGUUUCCCUUUAGUAAGUAAUUUCUGAGUAUAUAUAAAGUGUUAGAGCAGAUAUCUCCUUUUUUUCUUUUUUUUCUCUUUUUUUUAGGCUUGGCAUUUAUGCCAGCAUGAGAAUUUUUCACUAAAGUACAGGAAAACAUCUUCUUUAUUGAACUUAAAUAAGUUUU